GUGUCAGCAGCCGCGGUAAUACGUAGGGGGCAAGCGUUGUCCGGAUUUACUGGGUGUAAAGGGCGCGCAGGCGGAUUGACAAGUCAGAGGUGAAAUCCUGCAGCUUAACUGCAGAACUGCCUUUGAAACUGUCAAUCUUGAGUACGGAAGAGAGAGACGGAAUUCCAGGUGUAGUGGUGAAAUACGUAGAUAUCUGGAAGAACACCAGUUGCGAAGGCGGUCUCUUGGUCCGUUACUGACGCUCAGGCGCGAAAGCGUGGGUAGCAAACAGGAUUAGAUACCCCGGUAGUCC
Molecule: ribosomal RNA, 292 nt
Filed under: uncultured bacterium
Lineage: Bacteria
Description: partial 16S ribosomal RNA
Rfam family: Bacterial small subunit ribosomal RNA
Source: RNAcentral